GCCAGGCGUGGUGGCACGUGCCUGUAGUCCCAACUACUUGGGAGGCUGAGGCUGGAGAAUCCCUUGAGUUCAGGAGUUCUGGGCUGUAGUGUGCUAUACUGAUCAGGUGUCCACACUAAGUUCGGCAUCAAUAUGGUGACCUCCAGGGAGCAGGGGCCACCAGGUUGCCUAAGGAGGGGUGAACCAGCCCAGUCGGAAACAGAGCAGGUUAAAACUCCCGUGCUGAUCAGUAGUGGGACUAUGCCUGUGAAUAGCCACUGCACUCCAGACUGGGCAACACAGUGAGACCCUGCGUCUU
Unclassified non-coding RNA from Callithrix jacchus (white-tufted-ear marmoset), 298 nucleotides. It matches the Rfam family "Metazoan signal recognition particle RNA". Rfam says of the family: The signal recognition particle (SRP) is a universally conserved ribonucleoprotein. The record is from Ensembl. NCBI's taxonomy places the organism in Eukaryota, Metazoa, Chordata, Mammalia, Primates, Cebidae.